This 72-nucleotide transfer RNA is filed under the name Melanotaenia splendida (eastern rainbowfish). RNAcentral describes it as "tRNA-Lys". It matches the Rfam family "tRNA". Rfam says of the family: Transfer RNA (tRNA) molecules are approximately 80 nucleotides in length. Their secondary structure includes four short double-helical elements and three loops (D, anti-codon, and T loops). Further hydrogen bonds mediate the characteristic L-shaped molecular structure. tRNAs have two regions of fundamental functional importance: the anti-codon, which is responsible for specific mRNA codon recognition, and the 3' end, to which the tRNAs corresponding amino acid is attached (by aminoacyl-tRNA synthetases). tRNAs cope with the degeneracy of the genetic code in two manners: having more than one tRNA (with a specific anti-codon) for a particular amino acid; and 'wobble' base-pairing, i.e. permitting non-standard base-pairing at the 3rd anti-codon position. Lineage: Eukaryota; Metazoa; Chordata; Actinopteri; Atheriniformes; Melanotaeniidae. The record is from RNAcentral. RNAcentral also lists the same sequence under 4 other names.
CGCUAAGAAGCUGAACGGAAUAGCGUUAGCCUUUUAAGCUAAAGAUUGGUGGCCCCUACCCACCCCUAGCGA